RNAcentral lists this ribosomal RNA (793 nucleotides) under uncultured Chitinophagaceae bacterium. RNAcentral's name for it is "bacterial SSU rRNA". It matches the Rfam family "Bacterial small subunit ribosomal RNA", at positions 8 to 796 of the family's 1533-position model. Lineage: Bacteria; Pseudomonadati; Bacteroidota; Chitinophagia; Chitinophagales; Chitinophagaceae. The record is from RNAcentral.
AGAGUUUGAUCCUGGCUCAGGAUGAACGCUAGCGGCAGGCUUAACACAUGCAAGUCGAGGGGCAGCAAGGGUAGCAAUACCUGUUGGCGACCGGCAAACGGGUGCGGAACACGUACAGAAUCUGCCUUUAUCUGGGGCAUAGCCUUUGGAAACGAAGAUUAAUACCCCAUAAUAUUACUGAGUGGCAUCACUCUGGUAAUUAAAGAACUUCGGAUAGAGAUGACUGUGCGUACUAUUAGCUAGUUGGUAGGGUAACGGCCUACCAAGGCUACGAUAGUUAGCUGGUGUGAGAGCACGACCAGCCACACGGGCACUGAGACACGGGCCCGACUCCUACGGGAGGCAGCAGUGAGGAAUAUUGGGCAAUGGACGCAAGUCUGACCCAGCCAUGCCGCGUGAAGGAUGAAGGCGUUCUGCGUCGUAAACUUCUUUUACCUGGGAAGAAACCUGCGUAUUCUUAUGCAGCCGACGGUACCAGAGGAAUAAGCACCGGCUAACUCCGUGCCAGCAGCCGCGGUAAUACGGAGGGUGCGAGCGUUAUCCGGAUUUACUGGGUUUAAAGGGUGUGUAGGCGGGCUAUUAAGUCAGCGGUGAAAUCUUCGGGCUCAACCCGGAAACUGCCAUUGAUACUAUUAGUCUUGAAUAUUGUGGAGGUAUGCGGAAUGUGUCAUGUAGCGGUGAAAUGCUUAGAGAUGACACAGAACACCGAUUGCGAAGGCAGCGUACUACACAAUUAUUGACGCUGAGGCACGAAAGCGUGGGGAUCAAACAGGAUUAGAUACCCCGGUAGUCC